UGAAUUCUAAAUCUUAUAUUUUUUUCUCAAAAUAAUUCAUAUUAACGAAAAUUUAUCAUAAAUAUUUUUUUAAUAUUAAAAACAAAAUAGAAUAAGUAAUCAAUGGUGUUAAAAAAAGAAUAGGAAAACAAAUACAUAACAUCUGAUUGGUCAAUAGAAAGUAGCCUAUCACAUAGAAGGGUGAGGAUCAUGCUUUGUGUAACCACAACCAUUGAUAAAAAUGAAUCUAACGGACCACAAUGCACUAAGAUAAAAAAAAUACACUUUUUCUUCUCAUCUCUUUCUUUCUUCCUCUCCUCUGACUUCUUCGUAUCCUCUAAUCUAUCUCUCAAUAUGCCUCCUCCGUGAAUCUAAACUGUCUCAACAGCCAACACCAUCACCUCCGACAGAAGUAUCUCAAUUUCCACCUCCUCGUUCUCCACUUCUUUACCUGAUUACUCUUUUUAUUUUUUCUAUUCUCAAAGUUUUCCUUUUUUCAGAUGCAGAUUUAAAACAAGAAGAAGAUAGGAAACAGAUCGGGAGGGAGGAGUCUGAAGAAGCUUGACAGCAGAGGAGGUAGAAGAAUCGUGAUGGUGGAGGAAUUAAAAGCCUGACGGCGGAGAAGGCAUGGCCAGCAUAUAAGUUCGUCGCUCAGCCGUAACACCGGUGGCUCUACCACCAGAUUGAGUCUUCGCUUCAGCCAUGGCAUUCGGAGCCGGUGGAGGUGGAGGUGGAGGUGUAAAAACCUGAUGGAGUUGACGAAGUCUCAUGGAGGAGAGGAUGCGGCUGGAUUCUUCUUUUCUGUUUUUAGGUUUAGCUUUUUUUAUUUGGUUUAGUUUAAACCGAGUUGGAAUUGUAGUGGUUUGACUUUAGCUUUUAAUUUCUGGUUUAAUUUUGUAAACCGGAAUUUAUUUGUAAACCAAUCUUAAUUCAUAAAUAAAAUUUAUUUUAUUUUUAAUUAUAAAACAG
This 948-nucleotide long non-coding RNA is filed under the name Brassica rapa (field mustard). RNAcentral's name for it is "long non-coding RNA (BRAP_LNC001719)". Lineage: Eukaryota; Viridiplantae; Streptophyta; Magnoliopsida; Brassicales; Brassicaceae. The record is from RNAcentral.